RNAcentral lists this ribosomal RNA (432 nucleotides) under uncultured bacterium. RNAcentral's name for it is "partial 16S ribosomal RNA". It matches the Rfam family "Bacterial small subunit ribosomal RNA", at positions 29 to 506 of the family's 1533-position model. The record is from RNAcentral.
AACGAACGCUGGCGGCAUGCCUAACACAUGCAAGUCGAACGAGACCUUCGGGUCUAGUGGCGCACGGGUGCGUAACGCGUGGGAACCUGCCCUUAGGUUCGGAAUAACUCCCCGAAAGGGGUGCUAAUACCGGAUAAUGUCUUCGGACCAAAGAUUUAUCGCCUUUGGAUGGGCCCGCGUUGGAUUAGCUAGUUGGUAGGGUAAAAGCCUACCAAGGCGACGAUCCAUAGCUGGUCUGAGAGGAUGAUCAGCCACACUGGGACUGAGACACGGCCCAGACCCCCCGGGGGGGAGGAAGGGGGGAAAAUGGGACAAGGGGCGAAAGCCUGACCCAGAAAGGCCGGGUGAGUGAUGAAGGCCUUAGGGUUGUAAAGCUUUUUUACCCGGGAUAAUAAGGAAGGACCCGGGAAAAAAAGCCCGGGCAACCUCCGG